ACAAGCGGUGGAGCAUGUGGUUAAUUCGACGCAACGCGAAGAACCUUACCUGGGUUUGACAUCCCGAUCGUACUCUAUGGAAACAUAGGGGUCAGUUCGGCUGGAUCGGUGACAGGUGCUGCAUGGCUGUCGUCAGCUCGUGUCGUGAGAUGUUGGGUUAAGUCCCGCAACGAGCGCAACCCUUGUCCUUAGUUGCCACCAUUCAGUUGGGCACUCUAAGGAGACUGCCGGUGUUAAACCGGAGGAAGGUGGGGAUGACGUCAAGUCCUCAUGGCCCUUAUAUCCAGGGCUACACACGUGCUACAAUGGCCGGUACAAAGGGUCGCAAUACCGCGAGGUGGAGCUAAUCCCAAAAAGCCGGUCUCAGUUCGGAUUGGAGUCUGCAACUCGACUCCAUGAAGUCGGAAUCGCCAGUAAUCGCGUAUCAGCGUGACGCGGUGAAUACGUUCCCGGGCCUU
This 458-nucleotide ribosomal RNA is filed under the name uncultured Geothermobacter sp. RNAcentral describes it as "bacterial SSU rRNA". It matches the Rfam family "Bacterial small subunit ribosomal RNA", at positions 925 to 1382 of the family's 1533-position model. Lineage: Bacteria; Pseudomonadati; Thermodesulfobacteriota; Desulfuromonadia; Desulfuromonadales; Geothermobacteraceae. The record is from RNAcentral.